UAUAUUCUCUGAAAGGCUCUGUCAAUAUCAUGAUGAAGAAAUUGUGAUCAGUAUAUUUUCCUUUCAUAUUUUUUUAGACAUUCACACUUAUUAGAGUGCUUCACAUCUUGCAAGUGCAUCCUAUAUGAUUCAGAUUGCUAUACAUAUCAAUCAUUGGAGAAAUGGUUACUUAUUUGCAUAGAAUACCAAGGAUGCUGGGCGCCGCACUUCUCCAUGGCCAGCUGCAUCAUCAUCAUCGACGGGCUCGUGGUUUGGCCGGGGAGCGGGUCCUGAUCAACGCCUGGCCAUCAUCCUGGAAGGGGCGACAUUGUUAAUUUGGAUUUCAGGUCAUGAAGGGAAGCAAAUGUGCAGUCAUUAUUGGUGAAUUGCUUGUGAUGUAGUGCAAAUGCACAAACAUCAUAUCAUAGUCUCCAGAUUAGAAUUAAUUGCUUGCAAGAUCCAAAUUAGUAUGAUCAUUGCAUUUGCAGCUCAUAUGGUUGUGUCCAGAGAAUACAAAUACUUCAAAUUGUAAUGGAUAAGUAAACCAGAUUAGGUUGCUUUUGUACAGAACUAUGACACAAAAUAGC
This is a long non-coding RNA of Panicum virgatum (switchgrass), 566 nucleotides long. RefSeq lists it as uncharacterized. The record is from RefSeq and is a predicted model, not a curated record. Lineage: Eukaryota; Viridiplantae; Streptophyta; Magnoliopsida; Poales; Poaceae. The transcript is spliced from 3 exons.